This 461-nucleotide ribosomal RNA is filed under the name uncultured bacterium. RNAcentral describes it as "partial 16S ribosomal RNA". It matches the Rfam family "Bacterial small subunit ribosomal RNA", at positions 338 to 795 of the family's 1533-position model. The record is from RNAcentral.
CCUACGGGAGGCAGCAGUGAGGAAUAUUGGUCAAUGGGCGCGAGCCUGAACCAGCCAAGUCGCGUGAGGGAAGACGGCCCUACGGGUUGUAAACCUCUUUUGCCGGGGAGCAACGGGCGCCACGUGUGGCGCCACUGAGAGUACCCGGAGAAAAAGCAUCGGCUAACUCCGUGCCAGCAGCCGCGGUAAUACGGAGGAUGCGAGCGUUAUCCGGAUUUAUUGGGUGUAAAGGGCGUGGAGCCGGAGAGACAAGUCAGAUGGGAAAUCCACGGGCUCAACCCGUGAACUGCAUUGGAAACUGUUUGCCUUGAGUGGCGGAGAGGUAAUCGGAAUGCCUGGUGUAGCGGUGAAAUGCGUAGAUAUAAGGAAGAACACCAGUGGCGAAGGCGGAUUACUGGACGAUAACUGACGGUGAGGCGCGAAAGCGUGGGGAGCAAACAGGAUUAGAUACCCCGGUAGUC